CCAGGUGACAAUGGCGGGGUGGAACCACCCGUUCCCAUCCCGAACACGGUAGUGAAACGCCCCAGCGCAGACGAUACUGCCCCAGGUGGGUGGGACAAUAUGGCGUCGCCAGGA
This 114-nucleotide ribosomal RNA is filed under the name Chloroflexota bacterium. The record is from RNAcentral. Lineage: Bacteria; Bacillati; Chloroflexota.